AGUGCAAGUGAUGGUGGAGCAUUAGAAGAAGGUAUAGAGUUUCCAGCGAUUGCAAGAAUUGUUCCCAUCCUUGGUGCUGGUGGUGUCGUUGAUAUUGAUACCCCAUCGACCAGUAAUUUUGGUCGAUCAUCAGCAUCAAAUACAAGGAUUGGCUUUCUUGGAGGAAGGGGCUUCGUUGCUUGCACAUUCCGUAGGUGGUCAAAUGGUAACGCCAAUGAGAACUUAUGAAAAUUGCAAAGACAAGUUAGAACAGAGAAAACACUCUGUUCAACUUUAUUUUUUAAUUGAAUCAAUAGAAAGUGUGGAUAUGCGACUUAUCUCUCUUCGUUUGUGUGUUUGAUAUUUUCUUUUUGAAAAUUUGAUAUGUAACCAACAUAGAUGCAUUUAGAAUCUUAGAGGUCAUCUCUUGGAUGAUGAAAGCUAUCCCUGCUGCUCCAUUG
RNAcentral lists this unclassified non-coding RNA (440 nucleotides) under Hevea brasiliensis (rubber tree). Lineage: Eukaryota; Viridiplantae; Streptophyta; Magnoliopsida; Malpighiales; Euphorbiaceae. The record is from RNAcentral.